CGGAGCCUGAGGGUGCUGCGCAGCCGGCCGUUGAGACGCCGCCGGCGACCGUCGACAGGCUGCCGAAAUGGUCGCAUCGAGUCAAGCAGUAUUCUGGUUCCUCAAAGCUGAUGCAAGAUCUGAAGAAGUUGGAAGAGGAAACGUCAUCUAUUAACUUGCCGAAGGUCUAUCGCAGACAGUCAAAGCAUGAUGGGUGAAUUUCAUGCCGAAACCUUCUCACUAGUUUACGUCUGCAGUAAGAACGGAUGUGAGCCGUCGCAGGGCUAGUUUGCACACGAACCCAUGCACACCUACCAAAAGGUAUUUUCAAGCACUCUGCCAUCGUGGAGAGUGAUAGUAUUCAGCUGCUGUGGUCUCUAGGCGAGGUAACCUAUGGUUAUCGCUGAUCUCUGCUACAUCACGUGUGUCGUGUGCUGUCCCCUCGCCUUCUUGUUGCACAUCAUCUGCCCUUGUGCGCGUCCCGUUGAUGAGUGUUGUUGUGUCAUUGUAAUCUCUUGCCUACUCGCCUUCCAAUUUAAUUUGAUCUGAUUGUACACUAUCUUUAACAAGUGUAUAUGGAAGGGUGCGUGCACUGUAAUGGCUCCUUAGCUAAUGUAUAUGCAAGCAACGCUUACCAGCUGCUUUCAUUAUAUAGUAACCACUCGAUUCGUCUUUGAAUCAAAAACGUUGUUCCGUUGAUGCUGGAACAUCUAUGUGGCUGUGGGUGUGCGAAUCCGGAUUUCACGUGCCACGGGCUGCUGGCAUAAUAUCAGUGACUCGUAUAUGCAUAAUAGAAAUGCAGUUGUAUUAAUUGUGAAUAUGUGUGUAUGCGAAUAGUCAAAACUACACCAAACUGAACCGAGAAUAAGUAUGUUUUCGGCAAAGAUGUGCUAUCUGUCAUGACUUUCUACGUGGGUGUUCACACCUAUCUGUGUUCCUUCACAAUUUUAAAAAUGUUUCUCCUCAUUUUAGCAUUGUUUUAAUUAAAGGUGUGCAUAGCGGUCAAUUCUGCCCGUUGUACUAUGAGGUGCAGUACCGACCAUAAGUAUGGGUCUGGUGUAAAAAAAGAUUUUAAAGAAUUGAUAUGAUGGUGAAUUGACGUGUAAAUUUGAUAAAUUACGAUAUAUGUAGAACAUUUAUAAAACAUUUUUAGCUUUUAUCAAUUCAUGCAGCACUUCAAUUUCCCAUCAAAAGAGGAAACAUUAAAUUAAAUGUGUUGGAGUUACUGACUAUAAUGUGUAACCCAUCUGCAUGGGUUUCGUGUUCUUCUAUGUCACAGUUUGCUGCAGUACUGUGUGACGUUUUAGACUUGAUGUCGUUCUGAUAUUUUUGCUGCUGGUUUGCUGACCUCUUGUAGCUUGCCCGACAUCUCUUCAUAUGCAGCAAACAUAAUUUAAAUUGAAAACCCUUGUUAAUGGUGGUUUCAUUCAACAACUUAUAUAUUAUGGCAAUAUAUAGCUAACGACAUUAUGUUGUUGUUUUAAUAUAUAUCCGUUGAUAGUUGAACGGAUAGCUCGCUCGGUAUGCCUCAGAUAAGGAUGCUAUUAUUAAGUGCCUGAAAAGCUACAAGUACUGAAUCUCGCGUUUACAGGUGACUGAACAUUCUGUGCAGAAUCAUCAGUGGUAUAUCUUUUUCACUAUUUUUAUUCUUCUAUAUGCUCUCAGCCAACCUUGCAUAAUAAAUAAUAGUGAGUAGCUUCACUGGGCACGUGAUUCUAGAGACCAUUCUGGGAGGAUAUUUCUCGAUUUUACCCUUUUGUUUGAAAUUUGUAACAGUCGGGGCUUUGUGGCGAUGUGUAAGGGCCACUCGUUUGGCAGUAACGGUACGGUAAUUUAUGUCAUAUCUUGUGCCAAAAUUAACGACAACGGUGAAAUUAUGGGCUGUAAAAGUUUUCCAUCAAGGUUCCUAUUAACAAGUUGACCUUGAUGUGGCGUCCUCGGAGUAGAUGGGCGGAGACGCGUGUCAAUUAAUUUGGAGACUCAUUCUGAAUCUAUAGAGUAGAACAUUCUUACUCGGUGUGAGCAAAGAAAUCAUAGAUCUGCCUGCGCGUUGUUAAGAAACUACCAUCCCGUCAGUUUGCUUCGUGCGUGUGCUUCCUUGUCAGUAAAAGUAAACAUGCACAGCAGCUUUGUGCGUGAUGUCAUUUGUAAAUUAUUUAUUAGUGUGUCUUUACAGUAUCCGUUUUAGUGUCUGGUUCGCCUCCAUAUGUGACGUGGUGGUAGCAGAAGUAAUCACUAGCAGAACGCGCCCCCUAUAGAACUGGCUUAAGCCUACCUAGUCAUCUGUAUUCCUCAAGUUGUUUCCAUGUUUAUGUUUAGAUUAAGAUCGUAUUAUCCAUGUUGUUGUAAUAUGGUACGUUUCAAAUUUAUAUAUUAUAAACAUGUACAUAGCUACAUACGUGAACACGUUGCAGAGAUGAAAUUUACGUGAUUUUGGUGUUGCAGUCGGCUAACAGUUAUUCGAGUAAUCAUGAGGAGAUGGUUUGACCUAUGGUUGUGAUGCGGCAGAAAGAUAUGUCGCCAAUAAUGUUCUCUGAUACACAACGUAUGAGAUAUAACGGCUAUAUGUACUGUAAACAAAGUUCGUGAACGAAUACGGAGAGGAAACGGAAGUAGCACGCGUCGGGAAGUAGCGGCUUAUAAAUAGCAUUAGUAAACGUGUGGAAGGGUUUUUGUAUUAUAUAUACCAAGCGUUACCACGUGUUUGUUUGCGUCUCGGCAAGGUGACAUCCUCUAGUCAAUGUGGACUGUUAAGCUAAGCUGUAGACCUGCUGUUAUCAAUCGUCUUUGCGUGCGUGCUUGAGAGAGAAGUUGAGAAUAUUUUAUCGUGAGUAUAUGGGGGGUAGGGGGCAUGUUCUCAUGUAUGUACAUCUUUAGUUAUUCUGUGGCAUGCCCUCGUGUCCCUCCUGUGUGUACUGCAUUACUUCUUUAAUUGAUGAAGUUGCCAGUGAGAUUUCUUUAAAUAAUUCAUUAUUCCUACUAAUCCGUAUAACUAACGCGACGCUUAUAUUUUGCUCAUUCAGUAGAACAGUAGCGUUUCGGUGAGGCUGAAGGAGGGAUUCAGCACUUGUGAUGCUCUGGCGCUCGCCUUUGCGUGCUUAGUCUCGGAACUGAAUCUGCUCAUUUUUUGCAAUACCUAUUGUGUUUCUAAACGUGCAUGUACUUUUGCUUUGUUUGUCUUGCAUAUAUAUUAUAUACAUAUACAUAUGUGCGUACAUACUGUGGCGAUGACUGUUACCUGAUGUUACUCGUUAGGAAUCUCCAGUUUCUCGAACGUAUCAGUUCGUUUGAUAAGUGUAAUGCGUGAGUUUGGCCUAUUGAUUCGAGUGUGUACAGUGUGAGGAUUUGCGUGUUAUAUUAAUGUACACGUUAUACAGAAAUUACGUCUAACACAUUUGGUUUCUUCUAUUAGCCUUGUUUUUUAAUCGUGGCGAAAACUGUUUUGUCUGUCCUGCUUUACUGGUAGUGUUUUGCUGACUUUCCGAUAUUAGAAAUAUUCGGAACGGCUAGCAAGUGUCUUCUUGUAAAUUCAUUACUCGUGGGGAAAUAUCCAUUAUUGAUAUUAUUAUAUGCAUGAUGUGGCGUUAGGUUGUAGACAUUAAUUAAAGCAUUUAGCACUGCACAGCGCAUCUGUACAAAUAAAGACCAUGCAUUUUACACGGCAAACUAUUUUAUUUAUCGCGAUAGCCAUUUGACGUGUUGUAAACUAUGUUGUCUCUAUUUUUGUCUAUUAUUAUUGUACUCCGUUUACGAGCGGUUUAGUUCACCUAAGCUGUAUGUAUACGUUUAUCUACUUCGAUUGCCAGCUGCUGUUAUACUGCUUCAUCAUGUUAUCAUGUAAGGCCACAUGGCUGUUCCUAUGAAUUUACCUGCUAAAUGUGUUCUUCCCCCCCCCUUCUCUCUCUCUCUCUCUCUCGUUUUCUCUUCUCUCUCUCUCUCUCUCUCUCUCUCUCUCUCUCUCUCUCUCUCUCUCUCUUUCUCUCUCUUUCUCUCUCUCUCUAGUCUACGCACAAUAUAAAAGAUAUCGCAUUCGAAGUCCACUAUAGUCUAAAGAUCUGUGAGGUAUGGCCGCGAGGUUCGUUGUAAGAUCUGGUUAUAAAAAGGCUCACGAAAAAGCUUGCAAGGACCAAACGACAAACAAGAGCCCUACCAAAGGCGACCGGCGUUAAAUCCAUCCGUUGUGUAAGGUUAGCCCGAUUUCGUUUUCCAUAUAUGUCUGUGUAAUGUAAUCAACGUUGGCUUCUUAUUAACUUAACUGUACGAUAUGAUUUUAUUCGUCUUUUUUUACACAGCUGGCAUAUCAAUAUUCAUUGUGUAACCGAAUAAAGAGACAUGAAAUAGA
Priapulus caudatus is the source of this 4321-nucleotide long non-coding RNA. RefSeq lists it as uncharacterized. Lineage: Eukaryota; Metazoa; Priapulida; Priapulimorpha; Priapulimorphida; Priapulidae. The record is from RefSeq and is a predicted model, not a curated record. The transcript is spliced from 2 exons.